Long non-coding RNA from Triticum aestivum (bread wheat), 432 nucleotides. RefSeq lists it as uncharacterized. The transcript has 3 exons. The record is from RefSeq and is a predicted model, not a curated record. NCBI's taxonomy places the organism in Eukaryota, Viridiplantae, Streptophyta, Magnoliopsida, Poales, Poaceae.
UUGGAGGAGGACGGCGAUGAUGAUCCGGAUAAGAAGAUAUACGCGAUCUACUUGAGCCACGUGGCAGAAACCCCCAAAAACAAAAUAGUGUGUCUAAUGUGCUUUCUUGAAGAUGGCGAGCCAAAGCCAAUAUUAAAAUCACAGGUCGAAAAACAUUGCAAUAAUCGUCAUAAGACCUUAGGUAUCAAGUGUCAGAAAGCUGGUUGUAUGGUUAGAGCUAGGUUCAAGGGAGAUAUUGGCAGACAUCACAAGUAUUGUCAUGAUCUUAAGGCCGGCUGGUGGAAGAAGGCCCCAAGACCUGAUAGAGCUUAGCGCGAUGCAGUCCAAGAAAAAGGUGGAGCCAUGUUUGAAAGACAUGAGGAAUUUUCUUUAGUCGGUUAUUGUCCUGAAUGUGUAUAUAAACAACAUUGUGAUGUUUUGUAAAUUGCUACG